This 193-nucleotide small RNA is filed under the name Embleya scabrispora. Its description in RNAcentral is "Streptomyces scabrisporus c-di-AMP sequence". The stretch from base 37 to 193 matches the Rfam family "c-di-AMP riboswitch aptamer (ydaO/yuaA leader)". Rfam says of the family: This family represents a conserved RNA structure found upstream of the ydaO and yuaA genes in Bacillus subtilis and related genes in other bacteria. The ydaO/yuaA element is thought to act as a genetic "off" switch for the ydaO and yuaA genes in its native state. Lineage: Bacteria; Bacillati; Actinomycetota; Actinomycetes; Kitasatosporales; Streptomycetaceae. The record is from RNAcentral.
GCCGCCGGUACGCCGAAUCCCGUCGCCGGCAGCGGGAUGUCUACAGCGAACAAUCCGACGGGAGCGGGGGAACCAGGUGAAUCGCCGUGGCCGGGAUCGUUCCGGUGACGGCUAGGGGUGAAGUCGCGUGAAGCGACCGGGCUGCUCCAGUCCGAAUCCGACAGCUCACCUCGUAGGCGACAGGAGAGGACCC